Long non-coding RNA from Gopherus flavomarginatus (Mexican gopher tortoise), 854 nucleotides. RefSeq lists it as uncharacterized. The record is from RefSeq and is a predicted model, not a curated record. NCBI's taxonomy places the organism in Eukaryota, Metazoa, Chordata, Testudines, Testudinidae. The transcript has 3 exons.
AGGGUGACAAUCAGAGAGAAGAGUUAAGGUGAAAUUAGAGAGAAGGGUUAAAGGUGAAAUUGAAGAUUAGGAUUAGGCUGAAAUUGAAAGUUUGGGUGAAAUUAGAGAUAAGGGUUCAGGUGAAAUUAGAGAUAACAAUUGUUAGGGUGAAAUCAGAGAUUAGGAUUAGGAUGAAAUCAGAGAUAAGGGUUAAGGUGAAAUUAGGGAUUACGGUGAAAUCAGAGAUAAGGGUUAAGGUGAAAUUGAAAGUUCGGGUGAAAUCAGGUAAGGGUUCGGGUAAAAUUAGAGAUAAUUGUUAGGGUGAAAUCAGAGAUAAGGGUUAAGGUGAAAUUGAAAGUUCGGGUGAAAUCAGAGAUAAGGGUUUGGGUGAAAUUAGAGAUAAGGGUUAAGGUGAAAUCAGAGAUAAGGGUUAAGGUGAAAUUGAAGAUUAGGAUUAGGAUGAAAUCAGAGAUAAGGGUUAGAGUGAAAUUGAAAGUUCGAGUGAAAUUAGCGAUAAGCGUUAAGGUGGAAUUGAAGAUUAGGAUUAGAGUGAAAUUAGAGAUAAGGGUUCGGGUGAAAUUGAAAGUUCGGGUGAAAUUAGAGCUAAGGUAACAAUGCUGGUUCUGGCGGGACCCAACUGAGGCCUUGGCUACACUGGCAGUUUACAAUGCUGCAACUUUCUCGCUCAGGGGUGUGAAAAAACACACCCUUGAGCGCAGCAAGAUACAGUGCUGCAAAGCACCAGUGUAAAACAGUGCCCCAGCGCUGGGAGCUAAUCCCCACGGGGAGGUGGAGUACCUGCAGCGCUGGGAGAGCUCUCUCCCAGCGCCGGCACCGCGUCCACACACGCACUGGAGUUUUGAGUGCAGCCAAGC